AACUGUUUCAGUCAAGAGGAUAUGCACAACUUAUUACUGCUGCAACUACCGAAAAACACACAUUGAUUGAUCACCUUUACAUAUCACAGCCAUACGCCUGCCUCCAAUCAGGUGUUCUGAAUACAUAUCACAGUUAUCACAACCCCAUUUAUUGUGUAAUUCACUAACACAAAAUGACUGCAAGGUUGUGAGGGAUAUGGACUGACCAAGUGAUCUUAGUGUCUUUGCAACUGAGCACACUCUACCAGCAACACUGACAGCUCACCAGUGGGAGCUGAUACAUAAGACUGCUCUCAUCCAUUGAAGAGCUGACCAGAAACGUGAACAGAGAGACUGCAACUGCACCUGAUGGGAUCCCUGCCAUAACAGAUGUGUUCUGUCCAGUGAAGGCAGUGGAGAAGCCCUACACUGAUCUUGAAACUGUGCCACGCUAGUAGAGACCGGCUACAAGGAUGGGCAGCUGUUUUCGCAAAGUCAGCCAACCACUUGCUUCCAAAUGACCCUUAUCCAGAAGUAUCCGUGAGUGCCUCAUCAACACAAACUAAAGUGGAGACCUACCUCUCAGAGAAAAACGCACACAUAAGAAAAGCUGACCCACUUCAGUACUGGGAAGAACAUCCUAAUCUGUUUCCCUCUAUGGCUGCUGUUGCGAUCCCAGUGUGCCCCCUGUAGCUCUGUGGACAGUUUUGGAUUGGUUUACAUCUCACCCAACCGCUCACAGCAGAUGGCUGCACCUCUCUAAGCCUGGUUCUGCUGGAGGUUUCUUCCUGUUAAAAGGGAGUUUUUCUGAACACACUCUACCACCAACAAGGACAGCUCACCAGUGGGAACUGAUAGAUAAGACUGCUGAUGUGCUCUCAUCCAUUGAAGAGCUGACCAGAAACGUGAACAGAAAGACUGCAACUGCACCUGAUGGGAUCCCUGCCAUAACAGAUGUGUUCUGUCCAGUGAAGGCAGUGGAGAAGCCCUACACUGAUCUUGAAACUGUGCCACGCUAGUAGAGACCGGCUACAAGGAUGGGCAGCUGUUUUCGCAAAGUCAGCCAACCACUUGCUUCCAAAUGACCCUUAUCCAGAAGUAUCCGUGAGUGCCUCAUCAACACAAACUAAAGUGGAGACCUACCUCUCAGAGAAAAACGCACACAUAAGAAAAGCUGACCCACUUCAGUACUGGGAAGAACAUCCUAAUCUGUUUCCCUCUAUGGCUGCUGUUGCGAUCCCAGUGUGCCCCCUGUAGCUCUGUGGACAGUUUUGGAUUGGUUUACAUCUCACCCCAACCGGUCGCGGCAGAUGGCCGCCCCUCCCUGAGCCUGGUUCUGCCGGAGGUUUCUUCCUGUCAAAAGGGAGUUUUUCCUUCCCACUGUCGCCAAAGUGCUUGCUCAUAGGGGGUCAUAUGAUUGUUGGGUUUAUCUAUAUACAUUAAUGCUUGUAUGCUUUUCAUUUAUACUUUUG
Long non-coding RNA from Pelmatolapia mariae (spotted tilapia), 1451 nucleotides. RefSeq lists it as uncharacterized. The record is from RefSeq and is a predicted model, not a curated record. Lineage: Eukaryota; Metazoa; Chordata; Actinopteri; Cichliformes; Cichlidae. The transcript is spliced from 5 exons.